GAAAUGCGAUAAGUAAUGUGAAUUACAGAAUUCAGUGAAUCAUCGAAUCUUUGAACGCACCUUGCGCUCCUUGGUAUUCCGAGGAGCAUGCCUGUUUGAGUGUCAUGGAAUUCUCAACUCUAUUUGCUUUUGUGAAUAGAGCUUGGAUUUGGAGGUUUAUUGCUGGUACUUGUGAUCGGCUCCUCUUGAAUGCAUUAGCUCGAACCUUUGCGGAUCAGCUAUCGGUGUGAUAAUUGUCUACGCCGUUGCAGUGAAGCAUAUCAAUGGGCUCGGCUUCCAAUCGUCCUUUACUGGACAAUGACUUUGACCUUUGACCUCAAAUCAGGUAGGAUUACCCGCUGAACUUAAGC
RNAcentral lists this unclassified non-coding RNA (350 nucleotides) under plant metagenome. RNAcentral's name for it is "partial contains 5.8S ribosomal RNA, internal transcribed spacer 2, and large subunit ribosomal RNA". The stretch from base 1 to 105 matches the Rfam family "5.8S ribosomal RNA", at positions 50 to 154 of the family's 154-position model. The record is from RNAcentral.